UACGUAGGGGGCAAGCGUUAUCCGGAUUUACUGGGUGUAAAGGGAGCGUAGACGGCUUUGCAAGCCAGAUGUGAAAGCCCGGGGCUCAACCUCGGGACUGCAUUUGGAACUGUAUGGCUGGAGUGUCGGAGAGGCAGGCGGAACUCCUAGUGUAGCGGUGAAAUGCGUAGAUAUUAGGAGGAACACCAGUGGCGAAGGCGGCCUGCUGGACGAUGACUGACGUUGAGGCUCGAAAGCGUGGGGAGCAAACAGG
RNAcentral lists this ribosomal RNA (253 nucleotides) under uncultured bacterium. Its description in RNAcentral is "partial 16S ribosomal RNA". It matches the Rfam family "Bacterial small subunit ribosomal RNA", at positions 524 to 776 of the family's 1533-position model. The record is from RNAcentral.